UGUUUUAUCUGGCAGGCUGGAGCCUCACGCAAACCCCAUCUCCACUCACCUCUCCCUUCCCUUUUCCCCUCCUUUUCUUCACUCCCACGAAAGGAAACGAGAUGGAGAAACCCCCACUGCCACCACCAUCCUCACCAUGGCUCCGCCUCCACAGACCAUCCCCCGCCGUUCCGAGGGCACCGGCGGAUGCGCCUCGUCCUCCUCUUCAACCUGGUUCAAGGAAUCGAGCCGGGGCUGGCUCAAUCAACGGCAAAAUCACCGUUCCCUUCUCCAACUCCGGCGAGUUCAUCGUUGAUUCCGGCGGCCGUGAAGCGUCCCCGGCCUCCUCGUCCGCGCCAUGAGCAUCAGGAAAUCCAUCUCCGGCGAGCUAUGGUUGUUCCCCGACGCCAAGGCUGCCACUUCUGGACUUCACAUGUUCUUCCGCACCAAACGCAACAUGCUCCUCGUCCCGGUUCUCCCUUCCUUGACAGAUCAGAGCUCGCCUGCGUUGUUUCCGGCCACCAUGGUCGCAGCUUCAAGUCCUGCACGUGGUACAUCAAGUAGUACUGCGACUGUUACUGUUCAACGAUCAGCAUCUAGCCCAGUGAUCCGGCGCCUGAUGGGCCUAGCCCAGAUCUUCUUCUUUGCUCCGCGCGCCCAGCACCUAUCCGCCGCCGCUCCUGCCUAGUAGCAGGCCAACACCAGAUCCAGCCCAGACAUCGCAGAUCCGGCGCCUGAUGGGCCUAGCCCAGAUCUUCUUCUUUGCUCCGCGCGCCCAGCACCUAUCCGCCGCCGCUCCUGCCUAGUAGCAGGCCAACACCAGAUCCAGCCCAGACAUCGCAGAUCCGGCGCCUGAUGGGCCUAGCCCAGAUCUUCUUCUUUGCUCCGCGCGCCCAGCACCUAUCCGCCGCUGCUCCUGCCUAGUAGCAGGCCAACACCAGAUCCAGCCCAGACAUCGCAGCAUUUGCUUCUUCCCGGAUAGGAUCACGAAGUGGUGUUGUGAGAUGCGACAAGUUCCCCGGAUGUUCCUCGGCAAGCUUUAACAGGCAAGCAUUUCCCUUAUACUCCUGUCCCUGCAGGAGUCGCUCACCCAUUUUAUUUUGCCUUCUCCCUCAUGCUAUCCUUAAGUUGCGUUCUUGUCACGUGUCCUUUCCACUUGUUACCUCAAGCAGCCCAUAUUGCCACCAUCACCUCCUACAUCUAUUGUUUGGUUAUCGGGUCUGCCUUGCGAGUCGUAGUGCAUGCUAGUGCUGUUUUAUCUCGUUACCGUUAUUGUUAUCUUAUUGGGUUAUACGUUGGGAAGAAUCAUGGUUACUUUAGUUGUUGAUAAUUGUUUAGCGGAGGCAUCGGUGGGUCAGCUGCUUGUUUUGUGACGGCUCACUUGUGUUUCCUAAAUAUCUUAGGACCCCGAGUUCUUGUUAUCUGUUCCGAGACUGAGCGCUCUAACCACACGUGGGUAUGCUUACCGGGUCUCCCCUCGACCACUGCCGGAACCUACAUCUUUGUCCGGUGGCCACAACUAGUUUGGAUGUUUGUUUUGUUUCUCCCGGGCGUGCAAGCUUGUUUCUUUGUGGUCAGAUGAUAUGAUGUUACUCUUGGGGAAGCCACGUUGCCUUGUAACCCCGUUGUCUCUUGCACGCUCGUAGGUGCGGUCCGCAUUGUUAAGAGGUCAUCCUCUAGUGGGCUCUGGUCCUCUUAGCCGUUCUCGCAACAGCUAGGUCCGUCUCGGAGAGUCGGCCGGACUCUGAUUCGGGUUUAACUUAGUUAGGUGGCUUCCUGGACAUUGUUGUAGUGAAGGAGAGUGCGUGUCGUGAUAUCCACCUGUCGUAAGUGGGUUGAUCAUGCGUGUGGGCACAUUUGGGCACCCCUGCAGGGUUACAAUCUUAUCGAUAAGCCGCGUCCGCGGUUAUGGACGACUUGGAGCUGUAUGACUCGACCAUAGACAACUUACACCUGUUGUUUCAAUCAUAAUUACUUGUGUAGUAAGUUAGCACAACUUCAAUAAUAAAUGGUUAAAACUUGACAACAGUGUGAGUGCCUUUGCUAGUACUUCUUUGCGAAGGGGGAACACAUCGGCUGUGUUAUGUUUGCAGAGUAUAGAACUGUUAGUUGUGCGCUCUCUCACCUUCUCUGAUAGACGACUGUUGUAGAGUGUCUCUAUAGGUUUUUAGUGCUUGCGCGCUGCCGCUUAACCCCACCAUAUUGUCCAUGACGUUCCUCUUGCGUCCUCUAAGUCCCCUGCGUGCCUCAAGUACAAAGGACGACUGGUUGACGAAUGCUUAUACGUCUUGAAGUCUUGUUAAGUACGAACCCGUACUUAUUGCUGCUUCUACGGGAUAUAACCGGGCAGGUAUGAAGAUAUGUUCGAUGAAGACGACGUUAGCAAGGUUACCCUUCCGGCUUGGCCUGGGCAGGGUUAUGGACGCCACUGGUUAUCUUCAGGACUCUUAGUCCAAAUUUGUAUCUUGUCCGUACUCGGAUGUAUUUGAUCUUCUGUAUGAUUUGGAUCUUUGUAUGUUGUACAUUUGUAUCUUGACUCGUUGGAGUCGUUGUUGUAAUAUAUGUAUCUUGUGGGCUCUAUUGUAAACCUGUUGUAAUGUUACUACUCGUGGUAAUUCCUCUGGCAUCA
Long non-coding RNA from Lolium perenne, 2608 nucleotides. RefSeq lists it as uncharacterized. The record is from RefSeq and is a predicted model, not a curated record. Lineage: Eukaryota; Viridiplantae; Streptophyta; Magnoliopsida; Poales; Poaceae.